GAGUUUGAUUCUGGCUCAGAUUGAACGCUGGCGGCGUGCUUAACACAUGCAAGUCGAACGUGAAAGGGGCUUCGGCCCCGAGUAAAGUGGCGCACGGGUGAGUAACGCGUGGACAAUCUGCCCUUAUGAGUGGGAUAACAGUUGGAAACGACUGCUAAUACCGCAUACGCUCAGGAAUGACUUUUUGAGGAAAGGCGGCCUCUGCUUGCAAGCUGUCGCAUAAGGAUGAGUCCGCGUCCCAUUAGCUUGUUGGUGGGGUAACGGCCUACCAAGGCAACGAUGGGUAGCCGAUUUGAGAGGAUGAUCGGCCACACUGGAACUGAAACACGGUCCAGACUCCUACGGGAGGCAGCAGUGGGGAAUAUUGCGCAAUGGGCGAAAGCCUGACGCAGCGACGCCGCGUGAGGGAUGAAGGUUUUCGGAUCGUAAACCCUCUGUCGGAAGGGAAGAAGGUGCACUCUGCUAAUCAGGGG
This 473-nucleotide ribosomal RNA is filed under the name Desulfovibrio sp. canine oral taxon 070. Its description in RNAcentral is "bacterial SSU rRNA". It matches the Rfam family "Bacterial small subunit ribosomal RNA", at positions 9 to 471 of the family's 1533-position model. Lineage: Bacteria; Pseudomonadati; Thermodesulfobacteriota; Desulfovibrionia; Desulfovibrionales; Desulfovibrionaceae. The record is from RNAcentral.